AUUUCCUUAGUAUAGUAAUACAGAUGACUUCCAAUUAUCUAACCUUGGUGAAACCCCGGGAGGAAAUA
RNAcentral lists this transfer RNA (68 nucleotides) under Odorrana morafkai (Morafkai frog). RNAcentral describes it as "tRNA-Gly". It matches the Rfam family "tRNA". Rfam says of the family: Transfer RNA (tRNA) molecules are approximately 80 nucleotides in length. Their secondary structure includes four short double-helical elements and three loops (D, anti-codon, and T loops). The record is from RNAcentral. Lineage: Eukaryota; Metazoa; Chordata; Amphibia; Anura; Ranidae.